AUGACCAAAGAAGGAGGAGGUAUGGUACCUCGGAAAGAGCACUGGCAUGACCUGGUUCCAGAUUCUACCUCUAAUGUUGUGUGAUGUGAGGAUGUGGUACAAAGAAGAUGCUUAAUAAAAGACAUAUUGAUUGAUUGAUAUGAAGAGAAAUAAGAGAAGGCAGUAUCAUGGGAGCCAAGGGAGAAGAGAGAGGAGAGCAGCAUUUAGUAUGCAUUUUCUAGCCUAUCAAAUGGUAUAGCAGGUUUUCUUCAAUGUCAUUUCAGGAGAGGUGAUUAAAAGAGUCAAGGAGGAUGAAGAUUGAGAAAAAACCAAUGGAUUUAGCAAUUGAGAACUGAUACUAAAACAGAUGGUGAGGGUUUUUUUAAAGGAGAGGAAGAAUAAGGAAAAGGAGAACAAGAACAAGGAAGAGAAUGAGGAGGAGGAGAAAAAGGAAGAGAAGAAGAAAAAGAAGAGGAACAGGAGGAGGAGAGAGUGAAUAGUUGAGGAUGACAGUGAUUGAGGUCAUGAAUUUGGGGAUUCGUAGGAAAGUAAUCUCUGGAGAUAGAGGAAAGUUUGGAAGAUAUGUGGAUUUUGGAGAGAAGAGGAUGAAUUCCAUUUUGAACAUGUUGAGCGUAACAUGCCUAGGGGACAUAAAGUUUCAAAUGUCUACUAAAGAGGGCAGGAUUCUUACGUCACACGAAAUUGCCAGGCUACACUUAUGAUCCCAGUAAAUGCCCCAAUGAGAUGGGAGAGGAUACACGGAGGAUAAAACAGGGCCCAAUGGCACCAACUGCUAAUGUGUGUUCCAAAGUAGGUGAAUUCUGUCCUGCUCAGGGUGAAUUCAAGUUGGCGGCAUAUUCCAAAAGGCAGGCUCAUCAAUUAGCAUUUACUUCUCCAAAACACUAUAAUCCAUCAGUACAGAAGGUACUGUAUACUCCUAUAGUGGUUAUAAGUUUAGAGGCCACAAGCUAAUUCCUUACAAGCACUGAGGAUACUGCCCAGAGAGGCCCAGAGAGGCCCAGAGAGGGCAUAUUGGUGUCAUUGGAAGGCCAGGAAGUUAACCUGAUUCUCUCCAUAUUUGCCAUUUGGCCAAACAGUUCAUUACCUCCUUUCAAAUCAGCCUUUGAGCUCAUGGGUAAAAUAUCAAAGACUGAGCCUUUGCAAAACACUGAUCAGAAAUGACAGUUUGAUAUACUGAACCUAUUGUGGCUUGGUUUGAUUUUGAAAUAAAAAGCCAUAUCAUCUCCCA
Molecule: long non-coding RNA, 1228 nt
Filed under: Monodelphis domestica (gray short-tailed opossum)
Lineage: Eukaryota; Metazoa; Chordata; Mammalia; Didelphimorphia; Didelphidae
Description: lncRNA (ENSMODG00000048525.1)
Source: RNAcentral